CAAAUACCAAAUAUAGGCGAGCGGGUUCGAUUCUAACACCGAGGGUACAGUACUUGGAGAUCGGAUCCCAGGAAGUGAAAAUUUCUUUGGCACAUCGCGCCUAAUCCCGACGCAGGUCACGGCUCGACCCGGUCGCAGGAAAAAGCUGACAAGAGAAAAAGCACCGCCACCACCACCACCACCACCACCGUCCUGAGAAACCAAAAUGCGACAGGGACAGACGCUGGCAUCUUUUCUCCAACCUCCCACCCCACCCCCGUCUUGCACGAAAACGCACAAGAACCUCUACCGCCUAGCCCCCCGACUGUGCAAUUUACCCCGGCAAUGGAAAAAGCAAAGAGGGGGGGAGCGCGCUCUUCUUUUUCAGCGUCGUCGUCGUCAUCAUCAUGAAGAUUAUAGCCAGAGAGGUGAGGACAGCCCCAUCAAAGGGCCUGCUUUGAUGUCGUGCUUUCGGGGCUCAUCCGAUCGCGCCCUCCCCCCCGUUGCCGCAAAUGGAAAUGUAAUAAUCAUCGGUUUGCUGUAGGUUGGGAUGAAAGGCGAAGGGGAGUGGAUGACAGGCAGAGAGACCACGCGGAUUUCGUCGACUCCCGGAACCCAGUACCUCCCGUUGAGUGGUGUCCAGGAGGCUAUGAAUUUGUACUGCUGUUUUUCAUUUUGGGUUUCAAUGGGAUCUUCUGCUGUUGAUGCUGAA
Molecule: long non-coding RNA, 691 nt
Organism: Eucalyptus grandis
Lineage: Eukaryota; Viridiplantae; Streptophyta; Magnoliopsida; Myrtales; Myrtaceae
Exons: 2
Source: RefSeq, a predicted model, not a curated record